RNAcentral lists this ribosomal RNA (492 nucleotides) under uncultured bacterium. RNAcentral describes it as "partial 16S ribosomal RNA". It matches the Rfam family "Bacterial small subunit ribosomal RNA", at positions 29 to 507 of the family's 1533-position model. The record is from RNAcentral.
AGUGAACGCUGGCGGUAGGCCUAACACAUGCAAGUCGAACGGCAGCACAGUAAGAGCUUGCUCUUACGGGUGGCGAGUGGCGGACGGGUGAGGAAUACAUCGGAAUCUACUUUUUCGUGGGGGAUAACGUAGGGAAACUUACGCUAAUACCGCAUACGACCUACGGGUGAAAGCAGGGGAUCUUCGGACCUUGCGCGAUUGAAUGAGCCGAUGUCGGAUUAGCUAGUUGGCGGGGUAAAGGCCCACCAAGGCGACGAUCCGUAGCUGGUCUGAGAGGAUGAUCAGCCACACUGGAACUGAGACACGGUCCAGACUCCUACGGGAGGCAGCAGUGGGGAAUAUUGGACAAUGGGCGCAAGCCUGAUCCAGCCAUACCGCGUGGGUGAAGAAGGCCUUCGGGUUGUAAAGCCCUUUUGUUGGGAAAGAAAAGCAGCAGGUUAAUACACCGAUGUUCUGACGGUACCCAAAGAAUAAGCACCGGCUAACUUCGUG